GCCUGGGUGGCUCAGUUGGUUAAGCACCUGACUUGAUUUUAGCGUUCAAGUCAUGAUCUCAUGGUUCUGUGGGUUCAAGUCCCAUGUCAGGCU
Molecule: transfer RNA, 93 nt
Filed under: Felis catus (domestic cat)
Lineage: Eukaryota; Metazoa; Chordata; Mammalia; Carnivora; Felidae
Also listed under: 3 other names
Rfam family: tRNA
About the family: Transfer RNA (tRNA) molecules are approximately 80 nucleotides in length. Their secondary structure includes four short double-helical elements and three loops (D, anti-codon, and T loops).
Source: Rfam by way of RNAcentral